UCUGGAGCAGUUGGCUGACCUGUUUCAUGAGGAUGAACAAGAGCAGAGGAUGCAUGGCCAGCGUAACAAAUAUGGAAAAAACAUUGAUAGACUGUUGAUGGAUGUUGGAUGAGUCUGCGGAAGAAGGAGCACCAGUCUGAGUAUCUGAGUGCAUGCCAACAUGUCUUCGACGAGCAGGAGGAGGAGCUGCUGGAUUCCACCAAAGACCUGGACCUCGGAAAAUGAGAUAACAUCUCCCUCCAACACUCCCAAAGGAAGCGGUGGGAGACUGGCCACAACAGGCUGAGUCGGGGACUCUACAUGGGGAAAGAGACAUGCUACUGAGGAAGCUGGUAGAAGCAGAGAUUGAUGGGGUGGCAGUGGCCACA
Coregonus clupeaformis (lake whitefish) is the source of this 368-nucleotide long non-coding RNA. RefSeq lists it as uncharacterized. The record is from RefSeq and is a predicted model, not a curated record. NCBI's taxonomy places the organism in Eukaryota, Metazoa, Chordata, Actinopteri, Salmoniformes, Salmonidae. The transcript is spliced from 3 exons.